UUUGAAAAAAUAUAUUCAACCAGCUUAAUUUUUCUAAUUUUGUUUUUGUUAAAUCCUGUUUUCUUAUUAACUAUUGAUUGCUAAGCAGCAGGCAGUGUGCUAAGUACGUUACCUGGAUUAUCCGGUUAAUCCUUCCAAUAGCUACACGGUGAAGACAAGAUGUCCACAUCUUCUGCAGAUAAGGAAACUGAGGGGUAAUAAUAAAUAAUUUGCACAACACAGCACAAAGCUGAGGAGCCAACACUGGACCUGACGAAGUCCCAUUCUGGAAGCCAAACUCCCAACUGCUAAGCUCUGCUUGAAUUCUCAUUGAGCAUCUCGCUUCUUUAAAGUUUCAACAACUCAGCAGUCUAUAAUCCAACUCGCCUUCUCCGCAAUGCCAAAAGUGCAAUGAGCUUCAUGCUGAAUACUGAUUUGAAGUGUGGUUCACCACACAGACUUAAAUUGUCCUUCCCACAACUUUAUCUGAGAAGCCUGACAACGGUGACAAUCACAGGACUAGUUUUAUUGGACAGGCAACUUUCUGGGUCUGAGAAAGAGAAGGCUUCCAGGAGGUCUGCAGCCACCUGCUUCAGCCACUGCUGGUAUCCACAUCUUCAAAGCGGAGGUUUAGCCACACCCAGAGGGGGGAAUAACACUUGCAGAAAACAACGCUCAGAAAUUGGUGUCACCUGAUUCCCCGCAGCAGAGCAGACCAGCUGUCUCCUGUACAGGUGGAAGCAGCUUGCACGCUUCCUGCCAUCCGCAUGCUCACUCCUCCCUCACAGUCCCAGAAAUGGAAUCCCAAGAGGCCGCUCAGGCAAGCCAGAUAGAGCCACCCAUGUGAUCAAGCAUUCAGGGCGUGAGGGCCCCCACUGCCAUGGCCCAGAAAAUACAUGCAUCAACAUGACUCAUGUCAUUUGCUUGCCCUUGGUGAAUU
This 919-nucleotide long non-coding RNA is filed under the name Pan paniscus (pygmy chimpanzee). Its description in RNAcentral is "lncRNA (ENSPPAG00000044454.1)". Lineage: Eukaryota; Metazoa; Chordata; Mammalia; Primates; Hominidae. The record is from RNAcentral.